AGGACGACUGAGAAAACGGAGAGUCCCGUUCGGAGGACUUAAAAACACCGAACGCCUUGCCAAGAGGUAAACUUGGUAGUUAUCCUUUUCCUUUCAAUAGUUUGCUUAGUUAAUCAGGUUCAUGCUAUCUUGAAAAGAAAACAAAAAUGUUAAAAAUAGUAACGCCCAUGUGAGUAGACUUGUGGUUUAAAAACCCAUAGGUAUAUUGACUGUGGUGGCAUAAAAUAAAUAUGUUUUCAUCUUACAAUAAAAAUAUAAAUAAUAAGUGCAUGAUCCUGCUAAAUAAAAUUUAUUAGGAGGAAGCUCAAUAUGAUAAAGGCAAAGAGAUUUUAUGCUAACACUUAACCAGUUCCACAAAGCUUUGUAGUCUAUUUGAGCUCCACAGAAUUCAAGGAUCAAAGAAGACUAGCAGACGGAGGACGUCCUAAUCGCUGUCCGGGUGCCGCCGACUUUCAAAUACACCUCGAACACCUGCUAGCUACAUUAGAAGAAAUUACGUCAAAAUCCAGCUUGGGGGAGAGCACCCCCAUUUAUCCAGCUAAGUGUUUCUACUCGCGUUUAUACUUUACUGAAAUAAUAAAAAGAUGCAUAAUCAUGAAAACCCAAACAGAAAUUUCGUGUUUAUAUAUAUCUUUGCUUAGUUUGCUAAAUAAAUAAAUAAAGAGUCUAGGCCAAACUGAACCCUUAUGAUAAACUCUUACAUGAACAUGAUAAAUAGUUGCUCCGCCAUGUACCUAGAUUUCAAGUUUGAAAUCUCUCUCAAGUUUAGGCAUAACUGUUAUAAUUUAAACCUGUUCUAAACCUGAACCUGUGGGAAGAGUACUUGAUCUAAAGUCUAAGUCGUUAACGGAUGUGAUAUGGAAGGUUGAGCUGCUGUUUAUCUGUUCCUAGAGAUGCUAGAAUUAUAGAGAAUUUUAUCUUUGAAAAUCUUUAAAAUAACACAUGAUGAGUUCCUGUAUGAUGAGAGUUUAAAAUCCUACCACAGCCAUAUAUACAUGCUUAUUAGACUUUGAGCCACACAUUUAUUUUUACUGCUUAUAAGCGUUGAGUGUGGUCAAGCUGUGUAGACCCUUAGGAGCUUGUCAUGUGGUUAAAAUCAAGAUUCACUUGCACGUUCACUCACACAUAUUGCUUCUACUCCGGACGUACGCAUCCACAUAUAUCCACUCACUUCCAUCUCCAGAGCCACCCAAAAGUAUUCUACUCCUAAUCCGGGAGAGAAUAGCCAAAAACAUUUCUAUUUUUCCUGUGAAAUAAAUGCUCAAGUUAUCUUGGUUACUACCACUUGCUAUAUUAUUUAAGGAGAUGAGUGCUCUAAAAAAAAGAGAAUACGAGGAAAUUAAAAGGGGCAAGUGCCCGAAACCUCGAAGAAAAGAAAAAGUAAGAUGAGAGGUAAAAAUAGACAAGUGUUCCACCAUAGAAUAUAGGGGUACAAGAUACCCACCUCAGAGAAAAGAGAAAAAAAAAGAAAAUAUAGAGCAUCUCAUUCUCCUCAAAAAGCUUCAAAGUACAAGAAAGGUAUGUAUCCCCUAAAAAGAGCAAAAGUAGAAUUAGACUUUCACCAUUAUUAUCACCAUCAUCAACAUACACCAUUCAUUCGCCACACAUGCACAUCUUGAUUUGACUUAUUGACUUGUUUCUCCAGAUCCAUGGUUUGACUAUGCAAUAAAUGUCAUGUAAGUAUGUAUUAUCUGUCUCCCACCUAUGAGCUCCAGAUAUCAAAACCUUAUUAGAGUAGGGUGAGAGAGAAGGCAAUAUCACUAUGCGUCAUACCAAAAAAAUACCACAUACUUCGAGAGAAGGCAUAUACCAUUACUGCCUGGGAAAGGAUCCAGAAAUACCACAAAAGAGAGAUUUGAGAGAGUCAUACAAGGAAUCUCUAAGUUUUAUUUGAAAAUCUGAAAAAACUCUAGAGCUAUAACUGAUGAAAGAACAAGAGACAUGGCGCUUGACUAGACUGUUCUAUCUUUUAACUGCUCAAGACACAAGUGACAGUUGCAAACCCCAUGGUGAAAGGUAAAAUGAGUAAGUUUUAAGUCUUAACAGUUUACUCUAACUCAGAGAUGAGAUCUUACUUUUAAGGCAUGAAACCACUGCAGAAACUCUUGAGUUCAUCCUUGCUCAGGGACGAGCAAGAGGUAAGCUUGGGGGAGUUGUUGACGGUCCUUAAGUACCAAAUAUAAUCAUCAAAUAAAUAAAGAAAAGGAUCCAAAUGCAACCAACACCCAGACUUAGGGUUUUAUCUGACAGAAUUCCACGAGUUUUGGUGUUUGUCUAUUUCUGCAGGGGGUUAUCAGGAAAUACGGAAGAAAGGCCCACACGUCGGGUUUACAUAGAGAUAUUAACGCACCACGCAAUUUUCUACCAUCUAGAAGACUCCAGAAGCCACGGGAACGAACGGGAAGGCGAUCGGGCCCGGGGGCAGGGCGCCCGCCCUCCCCCCUUGGGCGCCCGCCCUGUCCCAGAGUCCAAUCCGGACUCUCUUCGGGGAUUACACUCCACCGACCUAAAGGAUCAAAGAUAACCGUUCAAUCAAUGUCGGUUUGAUCCGAUGGCCCAGAUUCACCUCAGGGGACUAUAUAAGCAGACACCCUGGCCCCUAGAGGAGAACAAGUUCAUCAUAGAGUUGAGAGGAGCCCUCGAAGGAAUACCUCUCCUCUAAAUAGACUUAGGGCUUCGCAUCCAAUGUGAGAGUAGACUAGAUCUACUAGAUUGAGAGAGAUAGAGUGGAG
RNAcentral lists this long non-coding RNA (2732 nucleotides) under Sorghum bicolor (sorghum). RNAcentral describes it as "long non-coding RNA (SBIC_LNC012903)". Lineage: Eukaryota; Viridiplantae; Streptophyta; Magnoliopsida; Poales; Poaceae. The record is from RNAcentral.